AGAUUGAACGCUGGCGGCAUGCCUAACACAUGCAAGUCGAACGGGAGUAGCAAUACUCUAGUGGCGGACGGGUGAGGAAUACGUAGGAAUUUGCCCUUAAGUGGGGGAUAACCCGGGGAAACCCGGAUUAAUACCGCAUGACCUCGAAAGAGCAAAGUGGGGGAUCGCAAGACCUCACGCUUUUGGAGAAGCCUACGUCGGAUUAGCUAGUUGGUGAGGUAAUGGCUCACCAAGGCGACGAUCCGUAACUGGUCUGAGAGGAUGAUCAGUCACACCGGAACUGAGACACGGUCCGGACUCCUACGGGAGCAGCAGUGGGGAAUAUUGGACAAGUGGGCGCAAG
RNAcentral lists this ribosomal RNA (343 nucleotides) under uncultured soil bacterium. RNAcentral's name for it is "bacterial SSU rRNA". It matches the Rfam family "Bacterial small subunit ribosomal RNA", at positions 26 to 381 of the family's 1533-position model. The record is from RNAcentral.